CUGUUACCAGCGCUAGAGCCAGGAGACCUGGCUUCUAAUUUCAAGUAUAUCUCUAACUAGCUGUGUGAUCUUGGGCAGUCCUGACCCCUCUCUGAGGUUUGGCUCCACGAUGGACAUAACCAGAAGACUGAACUCAUUGGCACAACUCCCUAUAUACUCAAGUCUACAUGUCUUCAAUUUUAGGGAGCCAGUGGUCAUGGCGGUGAAUUGGAUACCUACACCAGACAAAGCCUGAGAGGCGUAAUCAAAUAAGGGAACCACUUGAACUGAACUCCCAGCAGGAGCAGGAGGGAGGCCUGGAGAGGUUACAGGUCAACUGCUAUGCUGGUGUGAACCAGGGACAACUAUUGAGAGCCCACAUCUGCUGUUUCACCUUGAGACAAGGAACCUGUUCACACUGGAUGAGCCCAUGUCUAUGCAUGUCCUCUUUCAGAUGGCCCUGAAGGUGACAUAGGCAGUGAGACUUUGAAGAUCACAUCAAAGCCAUCAAAGCACAGAAUGUUGGUGCCGGAUGGCCCUUUCAAGUUCACGGUCCACUCCAUCCCAAAGACAGAUGGGAAAACUGAAGCCCAUGCUAAGAGAAGUUC
Bos taurus (domestic cattle) is the source of this 587-nucleotide long non-coding RNA. Lineage: Eukaryota; Metazoa; Chordata; Mammalia; Artiodactyla; Bovidae. The record is from Ensembl.